AGCAGCCGCGGUAAUUCCAGCUCCAAUAGCGUAUAUUAAAGUUGUUGCAGUUAAAAAGCUCGUAGUUGAACUUCGGGGUUUACUCAUUGGUCAGGCUUAAUUGUCUGUACUGGUGAGAUAAAUCUCUACCUUCUGAGGAACUUUCAUGCCAUUUAUUUGGUGUGAUUGGAAAUCAGGACUAUUACUUUGAAAAAAUUAGAGUGUUUAAAGCAGGCUAACGUCUGAAUAUAUUAGCAUGGAAUAAUGAAAUAGGACGGCUUGGUUCUAUUUCGUUGGUUUCUAGGAUCACCGUAAUGAUUAAUAGGGAUAGUUGGGGGCAUUAGUAUUCAAUUGUCAGAGGUGAAAUUCUUGGAUUUAUUGAAGACUAACUACUGCGAAAGCAUUUGCCAAGGAUGUUUUCAUUAAUCAAGAACGAAAGUUAGGGGAUCGAAGACGAUCAGAUACCGUCGUAGUCUUAACCAUAAACUAUGCCGACUAGGGAUCGGACGAAGUUAAUUUUAUAAUGACGCGUUCGGCACCU
This 520-nucleotide ribosomal RNA is filed under the name uncultured Diversispora. RNAcentral's name for it is "SSU rRNA". It matches the Rfam family "Eukaryotic small subunit ribosomal RNA", at positions 569 to 1088 of the family's 1831-position model. Lineage: Eukaryota; Fungi; Glomeromycota; Glomeromycetes; Diversisporales; Diversisporaceae. The record is from RNAcentral.